GGAGGCUACUGUAAGGUACUUUACAACCUGGCAUGAGGAAAUAUUCUUUGUUUUUAAGAUCUUGGAUCUUUGAACCAGGUAAUUACUUCACAACAAAAGAGUCAUUCAGACAUUAAAUUAAGGUCUUAUUCUUUUCAGAAUGAUUAUUAUUCUUUCAGAAUGUCAAUUAGCACUUAGAUUUAGCACUUGGUGAGUCAAAGGUUUAGUAACAGCCAGGCAUUAUGGCAAAAGCCUAUAAUCACAGUACUCUGUGAGGCUGAGGCAGGAGGAUCACAAAUUCAAGCCCAGCCCCAGCAACUCAGCGACUUAUUGAGGCUCUGUCUCAAAAUAAAAUGAAAAGGAGGACUGGGGAUUUAGCUCAGUGCCACCACACCCACCACACAAGCACAAGUUCCUGAGUUUGAUCCCUAGUACUGGGGGGAAAAAUCUGAAAAGGAAGGGAGGGUUUUGGGUAUAGCUCCAUGCAAAGGCCCUGGGUUCUGUCUCUAGUACUCCCCCCCACCCCCCCAAAAAAGACCUUUUGGUCACACACCUGUAAUCCCAGCACUCGGGAGGCUGAGGCAGGAGGAUCACUAUGAGUUCGAGACCAGCCUGGACUACAUAGUGAGUUCCAGGUCAGUCUCAACUACAUAGUGAGACCCUGUCUCAAACAAACAAACAAACAAACAAAAUAAGCAAGUAAAAAAAGACCUUUGGCAAGGGAACCAUAGUGAUCAAGAUGUGACACUUAGUUUGAGUAACAAGAAUAAUAUUUUAUAUGAACUAUUUUUUGGGAGGUACCAGGGACAGAACUUGGGACCUUGCGCUUGCAAGGCAGGCAGCAGCACCACUGAGCUAAAUCCUUGGCCUAAACUAUUAUUUUAUUUGUUUUAAUAGAACAGUCUUGACGUCAGCUUGUGUUAUCUUAGAAUGCUAUAACCUGGGUUUGUCUCAUGCAGUUGAAGAAUGACUUGAAGGAUAAAAGAAGGAGAAAGGAGGAGUGCUUGCUAAGAAGAGAGAAACAGCCCCCAGUAGUCAGGAAACUGGAUUGCCACCGGGCUCUUUGUCCAGCAGUUUUCAUACUAAACAAUAACUGGGGCUCAACCAUUAGGACUAAAGCCAGCUCACUGGGCCAGGGAUGGAGCUCAGUGGUUCCUCACCUGCCCGGUGUGUCUACCUUGGAAGCUCGGGUGUUUGUCAAGGGCCCUUAUAAAAACCCAAAAGAAGAGACAACAGCUGAGUCACUCAGCAGUCUGCAUCCUGAGGGCUCUAAGUCGUCCAAGUCUCCCAGCUGCUACCAAGGGUUAGGGAGCUGCUGCUCAACACAGCCAUUUCUUGUUACUUCUUUUCCUUUGGUCUCUUUUCUUCCUGAUCAUAAAAAUAGUAAUUGGCAGCUAUUUCAAAGGUGUUAAAUAGUUUAAAAUAUACAAAGAAGAAAAAAAAAUCACC
This 1428-nucleotide long non-coding RNA is filed under the name Fukomys damarensis (Damara mole-rat). Its description in RNAcentral is "lncRNA (ENSFDAG00000023735.1)". The record is from RNAcentral. Lineage: Eukaryota; Metazoa; Chordata; Mammalia; Rodentia; Bathyergidae.